GAUGAACGCUGGCGGCGUGCCUAAUACAUGCAAGUCGAGCGAACGGACGAGAAGCUUGCUUCUCUGAUGUUAGCGGCGGACGGGUGAGUAACACGUGGAUAACCUACCUAUAAGACUGGGAUAACUUCGGGAAACCGGAGCUAAUACCGGAUAAUAUUUUGAACCGCAUGGUUCAAAAGUGAAAGACGGUCUUGCUGUCACUUAUAGAUGGAUCCGCGCUGCAUUAGCUAGUUGGUAAGGUAACGGCUUACCAAGGCAACGAUGCAUAGCCGACCUGAGAGGGUGAUCGGCCACACUGGAACUGAGACACGGUCCAGACUCCUACGGGAGGCAGCAGUAGGGAAUCUUCCGCAAUGGGCGAAAACCUGACGGAGCAACGCCGCGUGAGAGAUGAAGGUCUUCGGAUCGUAAAACUCUGUUAUUAGGGAAAAACAUAUGUGUAAGUAACUGUGCACAUCUUGACGGUACCUAAUCAGAAAGCCACGGCUAACUACGUG
RNAcentral lists this ribosomal RNA (497 nucleotides) under uncultured bacterium. Its description in RNAcentral is "partial 16S ribosomal RNA". It matches the Rfam family "Bacterial small subunit ribosomal RNA", at positions 28 to 507 of the family's 1533-position model. The record is from RNAcentral.